This 486-nucleotide ribosomal RNA is filed under the name uncultured bacterium. RNAcentral's name for it is "partial 16S ribosomal RNA". It matches the Rfam family "Bacterial small subunit ribosomal RNA", at positions 28 to 507 of the family's 1533-position model. The record is from RNAcentral.
GACGAACGCUGGCGGCGUGCUUAACACAUGCAAGUCGAACGCUGAAGACCUGGCUUUUGUUGGGUUGGAUGAGUGGCGAACGGGUGAGUAACACGUGAGUAACCUGCCCUCUUCUUUGGGAUAACGCCCGGAAACGGGUGCUAAUACUGGAUAUUCACUGAUCUUCGCAUGGGGGUUGGUGGAAAGGUUUGUUCUGGUGGGGGAUGGGCUCGCGGCCUAUCAGCUUGUUGGUGGGGUGAUGGCCUACCAAGGCUUUGACGGGUAGCCGGCCUGAGAGGGUGACCGGUCACAUUGGGACUGGGAUACGGCCCAGACUCCUACGGGAGGCAGCAGUGGGGAAUAUUGCACAAUGGGCGAAAGCCUGAUGCAGCGACGCCGCGUGAGGGAUGGAGGCCUUCGGGUUGUAAACCUCUUUCGCUAAUGGUCAAGCCGCAACUGUGGGUUGUGGUGAGGGUAGUGGGUAAAGAAGCGCCGGCUAACUACGUG